GACGAACGCUGGCGGCGUGCCUAAUACAUGCAAGUCGAGCGGAAUGAUGAAGAAGCUUGCUUCUUCUGAUUUUAGCGGCGGACGGGUGAGUAACACGUGGGCAACCUACCUUGUAGAUUGGGAUAACUCCGGGAAACCGGGGCUAAUACCGAAUAAUCCAUUUUGCUUCAUGGCGAGAUGUUGAAAGACGGUUUCGGCUGUCACUAUAAGAUGGGCCCGCGGCGCAUUAGCUAGUUGGUAGGGUAAUGGCCUACCAAGGCGACGAUGCGUAGCCGACCUGAGAGGGUGAUCGGCCACACUGGGACUGAGACACGGCCCAGACUCCUACGGGAGGCAGCGGUAGGGAAUCUUCCACAAUGGACGAAAGUCUGAUGGAGCAACGCCGCGUGAGUGAAGAAGGUUUUCGGAUCGUAAAACUCUGUUGUAAGGGAAGAACACGUACGAGAGUAACUGCUCGUACCUUGACGGUACCUUAUUAGAAAGCCACGGCUAACUACGUG
RNAcentral lists this ribosomal RNA (500 nucleotides) under uncultured bacterium. Its description in RNAcentral is "bacterial SSU rRNA". It matches the Rfam family "Bacterial small subunit ribosomal RNA", at positions 28 to 507 of the family's 1533-position model. The record is from RNAcentral.